AUGACUGAAUGUGCAGCCAAGGUGAAUGAGUUGCUGGAACUAUAUUGUGAUGCUUCAGGACAGCGCAUAUAUACGGAUAAAUCGUCUAUUUGUUUCAGCAAGGGAGUGUCUGAGGUAACCCAGUUGGAAGUUAAAAACGUGUUGGAUGUUCAUAAUGAGGUGUUGUCUGAGAAAUAUAUAGGUUUACCAAGUGAUGUUGGUAGAGCUAAGGAAGGAUGUUUUAAAUAUCUUACGGACAGAAUUUGGAAGCAUGUCCAAGGUUGGAUGGAGAAGUGCUUGUCCGCGGGAGGGAAGGAAGUCCUCAUUAAAUCUAUCGCCCAAGAGAUACCUACAUAUUCUAUGGCGUGCUUCAAGCUACCGCGGGGUCUAUGUGGGCAUAUAAACAGCCUUCUUAGGAAGUUCUGGUGGGGCAGCAAGCAAGGGCCGAGGAAGUCGGCUUGGGUAUCAUGGAAAACAAUGUGCGAACCAAAAUUCAUGGGAGGAAUGGGACUUCGCGAUAUUGAGCUUUUUAAUCUUGCAUUACUAGCACGCCAGGUGUGA
This 540-nucleotide ribosomal RNA is filed under the name Triticum aestivum (bread wheat). RNAcentral's name for it is "partial small subunit ribosomal RNA". Lineage: Eukaryota; Viridiplantae; Streptophyta; Magnoliopsida; Poales; Poaceae. The record is from RNAcentral.